This 875-nucleotide long non-coding RNA is filed under the name Olea europaea subsp. europaea. The record is from RNAcentral. Lineage: Eukaryota; Viridiplantae; Streptophyta; Magnoliopsida; Lamiales; Oleaceae.
CAAGAAGAGAAAAUGGUGGGUAGUUAGAGAAUUCCUGCAUGAAAUGUAAUUAUCAAGAUCACCAUCUUUUGUUUUCCUUUAAUUGAUUAUUUUCACUGAGUUUCUUUAGAUAUUUGGAGUUUUUCUCUAUGCUUUUGAAGCAAGAAGUGGAGAAAGAAAGAGAAAUGUUAGUGAUGACGGUAGAGGAUUUUUACAAACAGUAUCUUCAGAAGGAUCCAAUGCGCACAAACUCUUGUGGUCAUACACGUUUGCAAUUAGUACUUAUAUUCUGUUCAAUGAAAAUAAGCAGCUUUUCCUGUUUUCUGAUCAAUCUCUACGCACUUUGAUUUGCUCUUGACGUUUAACCAUUUCUUCACCACCGUUUUAGGCCAAAAAAGCGUCAACAGCAAACACCAGAAAUAAAAAAUCUUGACAUCCAUAACAAAAAAAUAACGCAUAUUCACUCACUUGUGUUUAGCUUUCUGGAAAACCAAAGCAAAUUACAAGCAUUUACCUAACCCUUCAACUUCCAAGGGAAAAAAAGGAAAAAAAAAAAAAAGGAAGGUAUACACUUGCAAAUAUUAUGUUUAUGCAGUACAUACAGAAUUCGAGAUUUUCAAGGGAAAAAUAGAGAGAGACAGAGAGAUGAGAUCAAAAUCAAAGAGCGUGCAUUGUUGGUAUGGAUUAUGUGGAGAUUUUUUAGGUCGACAUCGCCGAUAUUCCAGAAAUGGGGCUGUUCUACGUGAGAAAUGGGAUGGGGGAGUGGUGUGAGAAGAAAGAGAAAGGGAAAUAGGGUUUGGCGUGUCUAACUGGGUUUGUUUCACUUUAAUUGCCAAGAAAAUGAAAUAUCAGCUCACCCAUGGAAAUUGAAAUUCCUCACUGUCGUGGAAUAGAGG